Molecule: long non-coding RNA, 291 nt
Filed under: Brassica napus (rape)
Lineage: Eukaryota; Viridiplantae; Streptophyta; Magnoliopsida; Brassicales; Brassicaceae
Description: long non-coding RNA (BNAP_LNC013618)
Source: RNAcentral
CUUACUCUAUAUGAUCAUUAUGUACAAAAUGGAAGCUUAAAACAAUGCAAAUAUGCAAGAUAUCAACUCCCCCAAACUUGUUCUUUACUUGUCCUCAAGUGACUUUGCAAGAACUCAUAAGAGAAAGAGGUUUGAAGGUGGGAACUCAUAGCCAAAAGUAACAAUCCCUAGUACUCAACUUAACAUCCUAAGGAAACAUAGCAAAUAGCAUGAGCAACUCCCUAUUCAGCUCUAGCUUCUCUAGGCCUAUCAAUACUCCUUAUGCCUCUACACAAGUUGCAAUACUCAUCA